CCUUGUAACUGAUGAAGAGGAUGAAACUGUGUCUGCUGCCUUUACAGAGGGGGAUUCAGAAAGGCAUACAGAGAGCAUGGCUGGGCAACAGCAGGACGGUCCCUCAACUUCCACUGCACAGAUGGACACAGUGAGAUGGAUGUUCAGUAAACACCAGAG
This is a long non-coding RNA of Plectropomus leopardus (leopard coralgrouper), 159 nucleotides long. RefSeq lists it as uncharacterized. Lineage: Eukaryota; Metazoa; Chordata; Actinopteri; Perciformes; Serranidae. The record is from RefSeq and is a predicted model, not a curated record.